Lolium rigidum is the source of this 567-nucleotide long non-coding RNA. RefSeq lists it as uncharacterized. Lineage: Eukaryota; Viridiplantae; Streptophyta; Magnoliopsida; Poales; Poaceae. The transcript is spliced from 3 exons. The record is from RefSeq and is a predicted model, not a curated record.
UCGCCCCACUCGUCGUGCCUGUGUCCGGUGUCCACCGAAAUAGGAAGAGCUAGGGGAGGGCGGAGAGGCCGCCGCGCAGGGGAGACCACCGGGGAGAUCGAUGGAUCAAGGAGGCGGGUGAAGUUGUCGGGAAUGGAGAUCAAGACAAAUGAGAUAGGCUACAUGAUCAAGACAGAUGCAGAGAAGAGGUAGUGGAAAUGAGAAGGGUGUGAGAUGGCAUGUCUAUGCAAAGGGUGUAUGAGAUCCAAAAGUUUGCCCAUCUUCUACUGCCUUCAUUUUGAUUUAGCCGUCCACCGCUAGGAUUCAACCAUUCAGACAUCUUUAUGUGAAGGGGAAGAAGAAAGAACAUUGACGUAGUUAUAGAACAAGCUAAGAAAUAUAAGGCCAGACUUUUCUUUUUGUGUGUAAAGGCCCAUAAGUAGCCUGAUGUACUAGCAAUAACUGGCCAGUUUAGUCCCUUUUUCAUUACCAGGGAACAACCUGAAUGAAUUGGGUGCUGGGAUUAUUUUGCGGUUAAAAACCAGGGAAAAAACCGGACUCAAUGGUAAUGAACAGACUGAUUUUUUA